AAAAAAAAAAAAAAAAAAAACUAAAGAUAAUAUGCUCUCAAGUCAACCUCACCUCAUCAUUUGGUCUUGCUUCUUCCAAACACCACCUCAUUUCCCACUUUCUUUUCUUUUACCAAUUUUAAUUAUGGGGUUUGUGUUUGCGUUUGUGUGUGUAUAUAAUAAGAGGUGGUGGGUUUGUUCCAAUUCUUGACCAUAUGGUAUUAAACAUGAAGGUUCAUCAGUUUGCACGUGGAUUUUGGGACGAACCCUCUCUCUCCCUUGGCUGUAAACGCUUACGCCCUCUUGCUCCUAAACUUCAACAACCCACCUCCGAUAACACAACCACCACCACCACCACCCUCACCACUUUCGAUCUCAAGACCUUCAUCAAACCCGAUUGUGGUCCUCGCAAACCAGGUUCCUCCCAUGAUCACAGCAAAGACUCUUCCUCCUCUUCCUCUUCCCUCCAGGUAACUAAUUAACAACUACUGUUCUUUUAAUUACAAUACUUAGAAUAUCUAAAAAAAAAAAACCCUUGUUUUGUACAGACAGGGGUGGAAACGCAUCCUGGAGGGACACGGUGGAAUCCAACUCAAGAACAAAUUGGGAUAUUGGAGAUGCUUUAUAGCAGAGGAAUGAGGACUCCCAAUGCCCAACAAAUCGAACACAUCACUGCACAACUUGGCAACUACGGAAAGAUUGAAGGCAAGAAUGUUUUUUAUUGGUUUCAAAAUCAUAAAGCCCGUGAACGACAGAAACAGAAACGCAACAGUCUUGGUCUUCCACACUCUCCAAGAACUCCUCCCCCUCCUCCCAUCAUUCCCGCCUUCCACACGGUACGUUUCCGAAAUAAUCUGCAUGUCUUCUAAUAAUCAUUAUCCCUGCUUCCGUAUAAAUUAAUCAUAACACGAGGAAUAUAAAUUAAUUUGCAGGGAGAGGAAGACAGCCCGUACAAGAGGAAGUGCUUGUAUUGGGGUUUUGAGUGUUUGGUAGAAGAUAAUGGUUUAAUGUGUAAAAAGGAGGAAGAUCAUGAUAGGACUUUGGAGUUAUUCCCCUUGCACCCAGAACGCUGAUGAUCCAAUUUUUUUGAAAUUCAAAAAAAAAAGAAAAAAAAAAUUGCAUCUUUUGCUAUGAUCAUAAGUUGUUAUGAAUUCUCUUUCUCUUUUUCUUUUUCUUUUUUCCUCUCGUUUUCGAGAAAAAAAAAAAAAGAGAAAAAAGAGAAAAGAAAGGUCGAAGAAUAACAACUACCACUUCUCUUCUUUGUACUCAUGUAUGACGUACUGCCAAUUUUCUUAUGUGAAAGAAAGCGAAGGAUAAAUCCUGAUUUCUUUUCCUUUUAACAAAACUUCCUUUAGUUUUAUGUUAGUAAGAAAAACGGUUCCUUUUUUGAGAAACACUUUGUUAAAAUGGAAGGCUUUUUUAGGUUAAAAGUGAGGGAGAAGCUAUAUUGGACACUGAAGUCCACAAGGGGCUACCUUCCUUCUUGUUUCUUAUCCUUUUUCUUGGAUUUCAAACUCUUCUUCCACUUUUUUCCAAUAACUAUUAUAAAUAAAUUUCCAAACGUUAACAAAAUUUGACUACUUACGGCAGACUUUCAUAAAGUGCCAUAUCAACCCAAUCUAAGGACAUGAAUUUUCAACUUUAUUUUCUACCAAAAAAAUAAAAAAAAAACGUUGAAGGACUGUUGUUAAAUUGUGACAUGCAUGUAUUUUAAUGAGAGAAUCGAAGUGGAAAGUGGGGGCCAAUCGUCUUGGAGGGAAAAGUUGAAUCACUAAAUUUGAAAGAAAAAAAAGUUGAAAAAGAAAAUAUUAAUGUGAUUUGUUAGUGUCCAUUAAUUUCAAAUAUGAUGAUGAUGAUUAUGGAAAUAUGGAAAAUAGGGGUAGCUAUGACUUCUUAAAUAAUUGUCAAAUUUAUCUUUGUCUAUUAGCAUAAUUGACAAUCUGUUUCACAAUGAUGAUGAUGGGAAAUUUUUUGCUAAAUAAAAACAAAACAUUCUAAUUUUUGUAAUCUCUGUAUUCUUCUGUAGCACUGUCCAUUUUCAAAUAAAGAGAUUAGAUAUGUGUCUUGUAUUUCAGAAGAGUACCAUCGUUGUUUUUGCUUUAUUUACUUGCCACGUGUUUGUGUUAUAUAUGUUUCAUAGUUUUCUUAAACUGUAUAAUAUAUACUUCGAUCUUAGCUUCUUUCUAUCUUUUUUCAACUCAUAUUCGUUCAAUUACUGCUUGUAAAGUGAUAAAAAGUAAUUGUUUUCUAAUUUUAUAUGACGUCUGGUUGAUAUAAGCUGCAAAGAGAUAAACGUAGUUGGAAGUGCAACAACUGAAAAAACUAACUAGUCCACUAAUUUGGUUUGGUUAAUUUUCUUUAUAGAAUAAAACCUCUUCAUUUGAAGGGAGAAAAUUGUGAAGUGUUUAUUUGGAUCUGUUCUUUCAAGGGUGUAGUACAUAUUUGUUGUUCAGAAAAAUUAUUAUAAUACAUGUAUAUGUAUGCAUGUUAUUCAGAAAACCCAUUAGAGAAAUAAAAAUGUCCAAUUUUAAUUUAUAAAGAACAAUGGCAAAGUUAAAAUAAAUUUUUGUAACAAAAAUACCCAAAACUGGUAACUAAACCGACUGUAAUCUGAAUUAAUUGAUUAAACAUUGAUCCAGUAGAUGUUUUUUUAUUGAACAUCGUUUUAAUUUCCUUGUUUGCAUAAAAUUAAUUUGUUUGGUUUGAUUUAUGGUUAGUCCAAUAAUUGAAAAAACUGAACUGAUUUUCACUCCAAGUGUACUGCAAGAUAUACAAUGAAGUGUAAUUCAUUUGGUAUUAUUAGGAAAUUUGUUUUGUUCUCUUCCUGUGCACUGAAGUAUAUUAUUCAUAGAUUAACAGUUUAUUCUUCUCUCUUCAAAGAAAACAAACUGUAAACUUGGGAACAGAUGAUCUUCAUAAAAAUUAUGUUUUAAUAAAGUUUACCGGAUGAAUGAAUUGUUAUUUUUUUAUCAUUUUGGGAAGAACUACAUAUUUAAAGUGUGUUUAGUAACCUGUCAAAUUUUCAUUAUUAUGAUUCAAAAUACGUUUUAAUCUUAGUUAAUAAAUACCAUUUAAAAAUAUUGGAACAAUUUAAACACUCUUUGAAAGUUCCAUAUCAGAGAUGAUUUCUUUUAAUGUGGUGUAACCAAACUAAUUACUUUUUCUUCAAAUUUGAACAUAUUUAACUCAAAGUCAAAAUCAACUUAACUUUUAAAUAUUGUUAUUGUGCUUAUAAUAUCAACCUCAACCCUUCAUUCAAAAGCUUCCAUUUUUCUCACUAUAAAAUUCAUGUAUUCAACUCAAAUGCUAUUGAAAAAUAUAUAUAUAAAUAAAAUGCAUCUUUAUUUUUCUUCUUCUAAAUUUUAUUAAAUUCAAGUGAGAAAUUAUAGUUAAAAUAAGUAUCAACUUUACGAUUUAACAUAACGAAUUUGAUUUAAGUCGGUGUAUGUCAUAAUCUAUACUAUACAUUAUUAUAUAUAAAAUAAAAAGAAAGAAAAAAGCUAUCCUUUUACGUAUAAUAAGCUACUUUUAUGCAUGCAUGACGCAUUAAUUAAUAGUUAGAUGGUUUUUUUUAUGAUUAAUAGAAGCUUUUUUUUCUUUAAUAUUAAAAAAGAUAAUUAAGAUGAGAUUUUGAAAUGAUUAUCUAGGGGUAUUUUUUCUUAAUUAGACGCAUUUGAGAAAGAAAAAUAGAACCAGCUGUGUAACAAAUGUAAUGAUUACAAGAGGAAGGACUUUAGCUUUGAUUAUUUAAUAUAUAAUAGGAAGAAUAAAGAUACUUUAGCCAAUUGAUCAAUCAAGUAGAUCGUGCUAGAUUCUUGUGGGUCACUUCUUUAAUCUCAUUUUCACAUCUUAACAAACUUUUAAACUCUUAUAUUAUCUUCUUCUCCAUUUUAACUUUCACACCUCCAACCAAAUCUAACUACUUAAUAUUUUACAUUAUUAUUAUUUUUGUUACGAUAAAUAGCUCUAAAGAAAUAUGUUCGAUUGUAUGGUUGUUUAGGGUUAAGUAAUAGUUAUUACAAAUUUUCUCAUGUAGUGAUUUAAACAUUAGUACAAUCUCUUUACAUAAGUGUUAUACGAGAAUGUUUGGUUCUACGUGAAAAAAAUGUUUUAAGAGUUUAAUUGUUAGAAAAAUAAUGCUAUUACAUAUAAAUAUGUAGAAGUAUAAUAAUAAUUGUAUAUUUCAUAUCAACUUAAUAAUUAGUAAUUAAGCUCAAUUUACUAAAAUACAAAUUGAAGAUAGAGAUGUUGUUGCAAACUUAAAAUAUAUGUAAGAGAUAUUUUAGAUAACAUGUUUAAUUAAUUCUUAUUUUUCUUGGUAUGCAUCAUAGUUUUAUGAUCUUAAAAGCCUUUUCUUAAUUGUUAUGGGAAAACCUUUAUGAGUGGUUGAAUUUUGUUUAUGGUAGGCCAAAUAAUCCACCUUUGCUCUUUUCAUUUUCCUUCUGUUUUUCAAAAUAAUAAUGGUAAAAAAAGGGACAAACAAAUGGAAAAAAAUAAUAAUAGGAAUGAGCCCUAAUUAAAAAAUUGUUAAGGAGGUUAUUUAAAAGCAACUUUUAAUAUACUUUGGUCAUGAUUGGAACACAAACUUUAAUAUGUUGGUCUAUUUUAUUUAGAUAUAAGUAGUCUUUUCAUAUCCUUUAAAUAUAUUUGCUAUAUAUCAAUCUGCUAUGUCUAAAUACACUUUAACUAUGAAGCUUACAAAUUAAUAUUUCAGGUAAACUUCUAAUUUCAUUGACUAAAUUUCAUGUUUAAGCAACUUAUCUAACUCUUGCUCUUCAUUUAGUUCAUGCACAAUAUCAACAAUAAUAAUUAAAAAAAAAAACAUAAUUUUCUUUGAGGUAUUAAAAAUGGGAGUUAAUCAUAUGUUUUACAAUUUAGAAGAAUAUUAUUUUUAACAUAAUUCUCAAUUGAUAGCUCAUUUAGAAUGUAAAAGUUGCAUUUACUCAAAGUUAUUAAAAGUAGAAGUAGUUUGUGAAAAGAGUGAAGAAAAGGGGCAUGCCUUUAAAUGAAGGCCGAUGUUGAAUUUCAGUGGUUGGGCCCAAAUUCUCAUGGAUCUUUAAAGCCCAUUUCGAUUAGCACACCCAACUCAUUCCACAAAUUAAAAGGAAAUAUGGUUAUACAAUGUAAAAGCAUUGACUGAAUCCUUCUUUACUUCACUAAGUGACAAGCACAUUACCACUGUGCUAUGUGCUAUGUAUAUAUUAUCUUUGUUGGGUGUGUUCUUAUCUUCUAGAUCUUCCCCCUUGUGUUGACUAAUAUAACUCUUUUUUUUUCUUUACUUGUUUAUCUCAUGUACUUGAAUGUUGUAUAAAAUAUGAAACCCGAAGAGUCAUUUAUGUUGGUGUCUCUUCCGUAGGACUGUGUCGUUGCCAAAUUAUUGGGGACUGGGGAGGAGAUAUUUUUUUGGCUGCUUGCGAUAUCUUAUUUGAGUCUAAAUUAUAAUUUAACCAUCUGAUUUGACUCGACAAACUCUCCUAUACGAGGCGUUCAAUUUUCAUUGUUUAUAAUAUUCAUCCUGGUCCUACGUUCAUUGACAAAACAUUUUGAUAAUUGAUAUAUGACAUGGUGGCUUAUUUAUUUAUUUUUAGUUCUGGGUAUCUAGCUUCCUUACUAGAUUGUCUGAUAAUUGUGUUUUUUUUUUUAAUCAGACGUGGUAUUAUGUACAAUCGAAUUUUCCCAGAUGUGUUUUUUUUGUUUGGGCAAAGCAAUUGAUCUGUAAACGUUCUACCAUACACUUUAUAGUCUUUUGGCAUCGUUCUACUCUAUAUUGCAAGAUUGUUAUAGAUAAUUCAGCCGUGUUAAUGAAUAUGGUUUUGUUUAAAGACGUAUGUUGAGAAUAAAGAAUCUGCACAAAAUGCAGUAGGUAAGCUAAUGGAAUGCUGAUCAAUUACUAACAAAUCUGGACUUGGAUACUUUACUUGUGGAGGUCGAAGUGUUUUGGUUUUGUUAACUUAGAAAACGUACAUGAUUCUGUGAAAGCAAUAACUGAUGUACUUGAAUAAUAAAUAGUUUGAUUGCAAGAAGAGAUAGGUUGAAAAGCUAUGGAAUUUUUUAAGGGAGCCGAAAGUUCAAGAGCUGGUUGAGCGUAGUAUAGAUGAUUUACUUGCUCCGGAUAUAAGUCUAGUUGAUAGCAUUGAUGAUUACAAAUUUACCGUAGUGUUAUACGAGUUGCCACAAUUUCCUCGUACUACGUUUCUUAUUAUUGGAGUAGUAAUAGACAAAUUUUCCAUCUGAACUUCUGUUAAAUUUACAGAAUAUGGUCCAAAUGUACCCUUAUGUAUUUGUUCUCUGAUCUAUUUUAAUGUCUUGGGUUGUGAUCCUAUGGUUCUAAUAAUUUGAUAUUACUCAUGCACUUUUGUAUGCAAAAUUUGUUUCAUACACAAGGAAUGUAACUCUUAUUCAUUGAUUGGAUCUGUUGGCUCUAAUUGUCUCUCUUUUAGUGCGGAGUAUAUUUCAUGGAGAUUACUCAAUUGGCAAGACAAAAAUAUUAAGAUUCAUUGUAAAGGAAACUGACCAUCUCCUUAAUGAUAGAUAUAGUUCUCAUCUUCCAUAGUUUUUCUUUUUCUAUGUAGAGCCAUUAACAAUUGGAUUUUUUCGAAAAAAAAUUGGAGCAAUCAUAUACAACUUCCAGGCUGCCGGCUCAAUGGUUGGUUGUCUCACUUUCCUGUGUAUGUUUUGGAUGUUCUCUAUAUACUACUACUCGAAAUUUCAGGUAAAAUUAUAGCUCUCUUCCAUUCAUCAAACUACUGUUAUGAAUAAACACUUGAAUAUGUAUGCAUUUUUCAAUAGAACUAUGUGUACUAUCACCGAGUUUUUUACAUUGUCUUCUCACAAAUCUGAAAAUAAAUGUUUAUCUUAUCAUUUUGUGUGCUUUCAUAGUUUGUGAAACGGAAUGAAUGAAGUCUUCUGGUUAAAUAUUUGCAAUACAUACCUUUUCUAGAUGCUUGUGACCAUGGAGUGAGUGUGUUGUAACUUAAAAAUGCAGCUCUUUUGAUAUCAAUUCAGUAAUGAUUCUUCCUAACAUUUUUGCUCAUUGAUAAAUCUUUUUCGUAACCCUUGGCUUAGAUUUGGAUGGUGGCUUAUCCCCCACUUUAGAUUUGGAUGGUCUCCUUUGGUACUUUACUGUAAGAAACAAAAAUAAAAUUUCUCUUGACUCAGCCUGAAAUUUUUUCUCAUUACUGUGUGGAUAUGACUGAUACCGAUAAUCUUGGCAAUCACGAUGGUGGUAGAAGGGUCAACCUCAGAUGCUUUGAGGGUUAGGGCGACUCGAAUCAUGGGCCCGGGAUAACCAAAUAUCAUAGAGAUUGUUAGUUAUCCCACUAGUUUAACUGAGAUCCAUGCCAACGAAUUGACAUAAUACGUUUUGUAAAUUUCCCCAUUGGAAUCCUAGAUCGUCUCUCCCAUGUCCUUUUCCUUUAUGGAUAUAUGGGUGCAUGAUUUCUCCGGCAGGUAUUUGGUGAUAUUCUGGUGCUCCCUCCCUGGGUUGAGGAUUGCUAUUUUUUGCUUUUUUAUUUGAUGGGUUGAUAAUGAUUUGUGCUGUAAUUCUGAGCAUUAACAUGGAGUGUAUAGCAAAGAACGACCAUUCUAAAUGGUCGAAAAGUAGGUAGUAGAAGGAAGAUGCAAAGACAACAAGUUAGAAAAAGAACUUCCCCGCUAUGUGGUCUGAUAAGGCUUUUACCAUGAACUACUGUGUCACCUGAGAUUUGAAGACACUUCGGAGGGUAUUUAACGAGUGUUUUUGAGAUUCCGUAUGACAUCUCAGCUGUUCAAUUAGCUUCCGUUGAAGGGGCUGGUCGCAUGAACGUUAUGUGGCUGCUUGGAAAAUUCAACGUUCAUUGGUCUUGCAUUUUGGAGACAGCUAGAUUUAUCAUCAUGGCGUAGAAGAGUAAGACAGUUUGGAAUAUAUAUAUAUAUAUCCUAGGGUGUGCAUUUUUUCAUAUUGACCCUGUACAUUUCAUUAGUUUGCUUUUACAUGGAACCUCAAAGUCUAGGACACAUUUCUUUGUCCUGUAAUUUCCAAUGUCCAGCCGACACCUAGGAAACAUCAUUUACCUUCUAACACGUGGAUUGUGAUGAAAGUGGACACAAUUAAAAUAAAGAAAACGGUUUGAUGUUUAUCUUAUCAGACCCACGUCUCUGUUUGUGAAACCUCUUUGAAAUUGCAUCUGUUUUCCCUGGCCUUUUCACAAUUUCCAUCCUAACUAUUUGAUUACCUUCUUCUCUUCAAUGAUUUGAGUGCCGGUGGCUUCCCACGUGUGAGGCUUAAGCUGCGAGCAAAUACCUUUCUUAUGAACGAGGACUUUGAAUAGGUAACAAAUCCAACUUAUGGAUCAAGUUUACUGGUAAUUUUUUAAGACAACUCAAACAAGUUAGUUGGUGGGCUUAAAAUCUUGAGCUCAUUUUUAAGAUCCACCCAAUAAUUUUUACCAUUCUUUGGUUCUGAUGUGAAGAUUUACUGACUGAAUUUUUUCCCAAUAAUGUAAUAUUUGCAGUAUGUUUUUUUCUUUAUGAGGGUAGAAGUGUGGAUAGUAGAGGAAUUCUAAAUGUAGACUGAAUCAAUUAGAUACUGUUAGUUGGUAGUAAAUUAAUAUCAAACCUACCUGUUUCGUAUUUUCAAUCUGCAGGUUUAAACACCAGGAUGAGGCCUAUUUAUUUAAUUAAUGGGCAAGUGGAAGAGUGACAUUUUAAAUUGCAUCGGAUGCCUGCCAUGCUUGCUUGCUGUGCCAUCCUUCCCUUGAUGGUAAAGUUAGUGAAUAUUUUUGGCUUCUCUCAAUUAUCUAUUUUGCAGAUCACGGGAACUUCUUAGACAGUUUACUUUCAAAUUUUCCAACUUUAUAUGCAAAGUUCAAUGAAACUUAAUGAUGAAAAAGGCCUUUUUUUUCACAUAUAUAUUUAUUUUCCUGUUUAUUGCUAUGUGUCUGAUUUUUAAAUUGGUAGUUGAAACAACCCAAUGUGAUAUUAUUGUUUUGCAGUUAUGGGUGAAUGACCAAUCCACCAAGUACUGACCUUUGCAUCAUUUUAACCCUUCUUCCUUAAUCUAUGUAAUUAAACUCCCUACAUUUUUUACUAGAUGGUUUGGUAAGUAUAUUUACUGCAGUAUUUGCAGGUGAAAGAGAUUGGCAAUGUCAGUUUUCAGUGAUUAUUGCAACAGGCUCUUUUUCAUUCCUUUUUUUUUUUUUUUUUUCUUUUGUAAUUAUUUAAAAAGUCUUAGCUGAUAGGUGGGAUUGAUUAGCACAUUUUUCCGCUGUUUGAUUAUUGACAAAAGUUGCAACCAGUUUUCUUCUUUCUUUGACACAUUCAUUUUCAUUCAAUUUCAUCUUCUUUCUACUCAUUUUGAGAAGAAAAUUGCCAACUGACAAAGAUGCCCACUUAUAAUGGUGGGUUAGGAGAAAGGCAAUCUUGGUUCCCUCUUGGUUUAGCUUGAUAAUUAUAUCUACCGCUGUUGGUGAAAAAAAAAAAAAAGAAGAGAAGAAAAGUAACCCAUCUCAAUUGCCUGUUUAAUUUCCAUCUCCUAAACCCUUUAUGCCUAAGCACAGUAUAUUAGAUUAGGUGAUGGCCUCAAAUACCUGAUUUCUGGGUUUGGUAGAUCCAUGAUUUUUGGGUCACUCUAUUUUUUCUAAAGAAAAAUAAAUUUUAAAAUGAAUAUAUUGAAUUUGCAAAAGAGGAGGAAAAUAGGUUUAAAAUUGUAAUUAUACGAAGAUUAUUAUUAGGUUUCAGACUCUCGUUUUGGCAGCCAACCACUGUGUUUUACAUUUACCCCACUUCUUCACAGGUAGUUUAUUGAUUCAAAGGGUCAAUCUCUCUCUCUCUCUCUCUCUCUCUCUCUAUAUAUAUAUAUAUAUAGAUAGAUAGAUGUAUAAAUUUAUGUGGGUGCAUGAUUGAGGCUUUGAUGUAUUAAAUUGAUAUAUUUGAAUUAAGCAAAAGCAGCUAGAUAGAUAUAGAGAUUGUGAUAAAAGCUGAGCCGUUUGGGUUGUUGAUUAUCCGAAGGCUUGGGUUAGGCCAUAUAUUUCUCCAAUUAGUCAAAAGCAUUGAAAUUUUCUAAAUAUUCUCUAUGGUGGGAGAAUCGUCAUCUCAUUAUCAUAAUUAGUAUGUGUGAUUAUUAUUCUAACCAAAAUAAAAAUAAAAAAUAAAAAAUUUCCCUUGAAAGAAGCUGUGAAGCAUUUGUUUUUUACAAGCAAACUCAUAUGGUAUGGACAAAUUGCUAUCAUAUUGUGUGGCCUCAUUUUAUGGCAUAAAAAAAUACAGGGUAUAAUAGCAAAGCAAACCCACAAUUGAAAGACAGUAAUAAAUUUAAUUUUAUAUAUAUUAAAGAAAAGUGGUAAUACGACCAAAACCAUAAAGAACGAAUAGGCCCACAAUUGAGAUAUGAACGGUGUGGGGAGGUGGCCAUUCAUUUAAAAAGAAGAAGUUGGGUUAGAAUCUGGCCUAAUACUCAAGUAGCCUUCACCCUUUCACACUUCUUUUAAGCAAAGAAGAGGCUUCCAUACAUUAACCUUUACCCACUGCCCAAUAAAAUCCAAAACGUAUAAAAUAAGAGGGAUAUGAUAUGAUUCUGUAUUUCCAAAAUAUGAAUUUUUACGUUACACCAAGCAAAAUGCUAAAUAAUAAUUUUUUUAAAAAAAUUAGGUGUAUUUGAAUGAUUAUUAUUGUGAUUAUUAUCAUUUGUUUUGUUGUUUGACCACGUGAUGGGUAAAGAAAAGAAAAAAAAAAACCCCAUUAAUAGAUGGUCAAAAAUUACACACAAACAGCCCUGGCAGCAAAGAAAGGAAACCAAAUCUCAAGUUUAGGAAUGGGACCCAUGAAAGGAAAAGUAUCAUUGCCACGUUUACGAAUUUUGUUUUGGGUAAAAUUUUCAUAAUUUACAAACCUUGAUUGUUCUGCAGUGGUGGAAUUAGAGAGUUUAAAGGAAAGGAGAAGGAAGAAGAAGAAUAAGAAGGAAGUGGGGUUGAAGGUAUCCAUGGCGGACAUUGGGGGGCGGGUGUUUUAGUUUUAAUAUUCAGUAAUUUUGUUGCGUGUUUAGUGUUUUCUCUUUUAAGGGUUUUUAACAAAGAUGGAGACUUUUGAACAUGAGGUCUGAGCCAUUUGGUAAGCGGCCCAACAGGACACACACUUUUAUUCUCUUUUCUUUUCUUUUCUUUUUUUUUCUUUUCGUUUUUUUUUUUUUUCUUUUUUGGUUGUUUUUAUCUCUCAAUUUUAUUAAAUUCUCUGUCUGAAGAUGGGAACGCCUUGGCUUUGCCCUUCUGGCUAUGGAUGGACUGUUUACUCUAAUCUCUCCUCUCUCUCUCUCUCUCUCCUUUUUAAUAUUUUUGUUCUGGGUUAAUUCUUAAAAUUAAAGAUUACUACCCUUUUAAUCUUGGACAUGGUCUUUUGUCUACCUCACAUCCCCCACCUUUCCCUCACCCAUUACUCGGUGGGUUUUGUUACCUCCCACUUUCAUCUUGUGGGAGAUUGUCAAACUUAAACCUUUUCUUCUCCUUCACUUCCCAUUUACGGAUUACUUCUUGGGUUUUCUUCUCAGAUCCUUCUUCAUAGAUCGACCCCUUUUUUUCCCCUUUUCAAAUUUCAAAUUUCCCCAUCUCUUUUGGUAAGUUUUUCUUUUCUUUUCUUCCUUCUUCUUAGGUUGAUCGGUUCUUGUUGAUGGAUGAUUCAAUAAUCGAAUGUUUGAUCUUUGAGGUUUUCGUUUCUUUUUCGCCUGAGGUUUUUUAAUGCGUUAAUAGAAUUAGAGGAUAAUAUGAAUACUGUUCAGACAUCAUAUAUGAUAUGUUCUUACGUUUUUUUAAAAAGAAAUUUUAAAAUUAUAUAUCUUUUUUUUUUUUUGGAUUUUGUUAAAGGGUAUAUCAAAGGGUGAAAGGGUUUGGCUUUGACUUCUUCAAUCUGAAUUUUGAACUAAUCUUAUCGGUGACUUCGGCGAUGAUGGUUCUUCUAACCACGCCAAAGUUUAUGGACAUAAGUUGAGCGCCUUUGAUUUCUCCGCCUUCAUCAGUGCUAUUUUCUAGGUUGUUUUUGGUGUUGAAAGUUCUCAUUUUUCAGUUUUUUAUUUUAUUUUAUUAUAUAUAUAAUAUUGAGGCUGGGGUUAAGCUGUUUGCCUAAUCUGUGAGCCCGAUUUUUAUUGAUUCUGGGAUUUAGUUCUGUAGCGUUCGAUGCCUUUUCGUUUCUCCUCUUGUGGGUGGGAUAUGUUUUAGAUGCUUUGUUGAGUUCUAAAACCACAAUUUUUGGUUUCAUUUCCUCCUUUGACAUUUGAGCCAGUUACAGGACUUGAUGAGAUUUUGUACUGUUUCAUGAUGUCAAUGUGACAAUGUCGCCAUUGUUGCCAGCCCUCUUCUACGGAUAGGAAUCUGUAAAUGUGUAAUUUAAUCUGCAAUUGAUUGCAUGUUAGAAAUGUUUCGUUUGAAGUGAACAUUCUGCACCACGUUAUAACACCUCUGUCAUUGGUCAUUCUCACAAGUCGUUUCUGGGUGCUUACAUUCUUAAUUUGAAUGGUUUCUCCACUUCAUCUCAUUUUCUUUAUUUCGGUGAUGAAUUGUUGUAUGCAUUUCUAUGCAUGAUAUGGGACUGCGAUUUCUCCAGGUAUUAGAGAUUUCUUCCAGUGUUACAUUGUUACCAAAUGCCAAAAUCAGCAUUUCUUUGGCAUCUCUAAGUUCUAGCUGUUGAUUUCUCCUUAUAAUUUAGAAGUUUCCUUGUUCUGAUUAGGUUUCAUCUCUAGCUGAUAUCACUCAAAGGAAUUAGAGGUUUCAAAAUAUGUUAAAUUUUGUAAUAAUCUUAUUACAUUUAGUUGUUUGUAUGGGAAAUGUAUCGAAGGUUGAUUUAUAGGAAGCAAGUGUUGUUUAGUAGUAUUAAGCUCUUAGCUUGCAUUGUUGUUGCUAGCCAUUAAACUGGAUUAGAGAAAACGAGUACUGUUUGGGGUUCGGUUGUGCAGAUUUUGUGAUUUAUUGUCAGUUUGGAAUCUUUUCUUUUACCUUCAUCUAUUCUUGUUCCACAUUCCUAUACUCGUCUAGAAAUUGCUUUGAAUGCUGGCAAAUAGUACUUGAUACUUUGGUUUAAGUAUCAAGAGUCUUUGUGCCAAUAAAAAUAUUGUGUUCGAUCAUGGAGUUUAUUUGUUUGACAGAUCUAGCAUGCUAACUUGUAAUGUUGUAUGAAGCUCUUUAACUUCUUGUUCUAAUUGGCUUUUUGUUUCAUUGGUUUCAGAUUCAAUCAAGUGUAUGUGGCUUCGUUUGUUGUCUGGAAAACUUUUUUGACCUGGCUCAUAUUUGAUAGAGAAAUUUACAUUUUCUCUAAUGCAAGGGCAAAGGAGUAGUAUUGGUUCUUUGUCAGAAACAAUAAACUUUGAACAUGGAUCUUCAUCAAAUAAUCCUGGUAACCAACCAGUAUACUGGAAUAAUGUGUGGAAUCCAGCAGAGAACCGAAUACCAGAUUAUUUAUUACCUACUUCUGAUGUAAAUUCUGGAUAUGUAAGCUCUGUGAGCCAUGAGCAACGAAGUUUGAGCAGAUGGAGCUUGGGUGAACCUAGCUCUUGUGAUAUGCAAACUGAGAUGCUGCCUGAUGAGCAGAAAGCUGAAAUUGGAUGGUCUUCAAUGGCUCGUGAUGCAGAUGGUCCUGUUACUGAAAACCGACUCUGUGAGCCAUCAAAUAAUCCUUCACUGGGUCAUGUGAAUCUGAGCCCACUGAUUAUACAAAAUUCUAAUUCUAAUUCUAAUGCUAUUCCUCAUAAUCUCAACUUAAAUUCAAGUUUUGUUAGUCAUGGAGGUGACAAUAGCAGAGUUAAUGAAGGUACUAACGUGUAUAAAUCUAGUGGACCAGAGGAAGGGAGGAUUUUAUGUUCUAAUGCGUCUGAUCCUCUUCUACUUCCUUCUGGAAAUAGUGGACUUCCGGUGGUUGGAAAUGAUGGUAGACCAGGCUCUUCCUUGGAUGGCCGGCGAGCACCCUGCAAAAGAAAAUCUAUUGAAGGAAAUGUUGCACAGUCCUCCCUAAGUGGAAGCAGCAACUACUCACAACAUAUUGAAAGUGGAUCAGAAGCCCAUCUUCCAGUGUUCCCUGGUCGCUACAACACAGGCAGUAGGUUAAGCAUACCUCCUCCACCAGCACGAAUGAAUCAGGCCCCUGUACGAGGUGCAGGUGAACUAACUUCCAACAGCUUCUCUGAGUCAAUUGUUGCUGAAAGCUCAGACAGUUCUCAAAGAAACUACCGUAUAAGGAUUAGUUCAUCAAAUGCACCAGAUUCUUUUGCAUCGGCAGGAACUGCUGUUAGGCAUCCUGGGCCACCAUCUUCCCAGCUGCCAGGUAGACUUCUACCUGCUGAGCAUAUACUAGACUUGAGGCCAGCACCAGCUGUAGACAAUGUAUCAGCUCAAGGUCAGCCAAUUAUGAUACAUGUGCCUGCUUUACCUCGAAGUUUGCAACCAUAUAGGUGGAAUGGAAGCUCUUCUUCCAGAAGUGGCAGUUCAUCAAGCUCUGCAGGGGAGAGGCAGGUGGUGCAACGUGAAGAGGUGAGACCAAGCAGCAUGGGAAGAAACGUAUCCGAACAUCCUAUGUUUGUCCCGGCAAAUGAGCUGAGGGGUUUGGUUCGGAGUCCAUCAAGUAGAGCUUUAGCAUCUUCGAACUUGUCCAUUCCUGGAAAUGUUGCUUCUACAUCCAGGGUUGGUUCAAGUUCAGGGGUACAUCCCUCUUCUGGACCUUGGAUUCCUCCUGAGAGUUCUCCUACACAGUUUCCCAGGAGGUUAACAGAAUAUGUUCGUAGGCAGUUAUUUGCUUCUGCUACAAAUGAGUCUGGAGGAAGGACAAGUAAUUAUUCACAGCGUUCAGGUUCUACUUCUGCCCAGGAGAUGGUCCUUUCAUCUGGAUCUGGCCGCCGGGGGCACCAUUUAUUGCAACCGAGGUCUGCAUUAUGGAUGGAAAGAAGAGGUGACAGUGGACUUGGUCUUCCAUAUUCAUUACGAACUUUGGCUACUUCUGCUGAAGGAAGUGACAAUAACAGACUUGUAUCUGAGGUAUGUUGAAUUUUUUAAUGGAUUAACUGAAUGAUGACCCUAGGUUCAUAUGUGUUAUAUAUGCAUGCCUGUCUGCAUCUGCAGAGAUGUUCAUUUUGAUUGUUGAAUCUUGUGAACAUCUUUGCUUCCUGAAUUCUUUUUAAUGCCAAUCCCUCCCGUUGUUUAAUCGAUCAAUUUUUUUAUUAUAUUGUCUCUUAAAAGUUGCAAUACUUUCAUGUCUACUGGAGAAACUUUAGAUGUUGUGGGUGUCACGACUUUUAUGCUUGGGACUGCAUAUCCGUGAAUUACAUAUGCUAGUGUGAUCAACUUUGCUCCUUCAAAAGCAUGAUGGGAAUUUUUAAAAUAAAUUCCCAUGUUCACCAACUCUGAUGCCCUGUCAACAAGAAAGAGAGGGGGGAAGUCAGGGUGAGGGAGGAACUACUGUAUGACUAUCUAAGUACCUUCCUCAUUUAAUGCAAGCCCUUAUGAAUUGAAAAUUGCUAUUCUGAAAUUGCUGGAUAAAAUUUUUCUGGGACCGCAAGCUUUUCUAUAUGACUAUCUAAGUAACUUUCUGGAGAUUGCGUCCACUAGGAUGGUGUUUGCUGGACUACAAACUGCAGUCAAAUUCUUUGGGAAAUCCUUCUCAGCAUAAGUUACCUUUUAUUAACAAUUUUUUUUUCCUCCAAUUCUAAGUAAUCUUACAUUACAAGUAUGUUGGGUUGUGCUGUAAACAAGAUUUGAUGGAUUAUGAUGCUGUCUUCAACAGUUCAGUUUUCUGUUGGUAUUCAAACUUUGGUUGAUUCUUAGAAGCUCACAUGCUAUUGUUUUGUCUGCAGCACCUUCGUAAUGUCUUGGGCCUUGUUCGCAGGGGUGAAAGCUUACGAGUUGAGGUAGGAACCUUAUUGGUGCUGUAUCAUGGUCAGUUGAUGGCAAAGUUGCAUGAUUGUAUUGAGAUACAGGCAGUCGUUUAGUUACAUGUUUCAUUUUUGUUUAGAUUGGUUACAAUGUGUAAAUGGUGGUGAACAGCUACUUUGUUUUGUUCACAUUCAGUUGCAUUUGGGAUAAAGCUAAAUGGUUCACUUAGUUGAUAUGAAAUAGACUUGAUUUGAUGAUGGUCUAGGACAGGAUCUUGUAUUUCUCCCCUCCAUGGCUUUGGACUUUCUCUAGGGCUUUUGAUUUUACAAUGUACCAAUGUUAUUGUAGCAAUACAUUUUUUAUUAUUAUUGUUAUUAUUUGUUUGGAGUGGGGGGGGUGGGGGAUUCUGGUGGCACCGACUGAUACAUAGUUUCGUGAGAUUUCCCAUAUUCAAAAGUCCUUGAAUUAAUAAUCGUGAAUAUUCUCUAAAUUUACAUGGCGGGGAGGAGGAUUUGUGUCAAAUUUGAGGAAAUUGUGUUCUUCAUGGAGACAACUUAGUUUUGUCAACGAGACUUAGUUGAAGUCAUUGACUCGACAUUUUUAACUCUUGUUUUAUAAUUAUGGUCAUCAAUACUAAUGUUGCUUUAUAAUUUCUCUUCUGUCAGGAUGUGAUGAUCCUGGACCAAUCACUAUUUUUUGGGAUGGCUGAUAUUUAUGAUAGGCACAGGGACAUGCGUCUAGACGUUGACAACAUGUCGUAUGAGGUUUGUCUAAAAUACAAACCAACCAACCGAUGUAUUUUGCACCUUUUUCGUGUUGCCUUGUUCGCGUUUUAACUAUGUGAAAGUGCAGGAAUUGUUGGCAUUGGAAGAGCGUAUUGGGAAUGUCAACACAGGACUAAACGAAGAGACAAUAGUUGCUCGACUGAAACAAAAGAAGCGGGUGAAUGCUGUUGACUCACAGGUGGAGGAAGAACCAUGCUGUGUUUGUCAGGUUGUAACAGAUGUAUCUUUUGAGCUGUUAUCAUUCUUGAAACUGCACAACUUUGUAAUGUCUGUCUCCUUCCCUCAUUAGCAUCCGACUAACAACCCAGCUGAUGAUUUCCAGGAGGAAUACGUGGACGGAGAAGACAUUGGAACGCUGGAAUGCGGGCAUGACUUUCACACAGCAUGUAUUAAGCAGUGGCUGAUGCAAAAGAAUCUGUGUCCCAUAUGCAAAACAACUGGUUUAGCAAGCCGAGAAUGAAUGAACCUUGGUGUGGUGGUUGCUGCUUAAGAGACAAGGAGUUAAAAAAAAGCAAAGCAACUAUGGAAUGGAAUCAAGGAAGGAAAUGCUAGGAUGUUGCUUGCCAGUUAUCUACCUCUGAAGAACCACAUUCAAGUUUCUCUAUAUACAAGUAGUAGUAAAAUUUUUAUAUAAUGCAAGCAAUCAUUUUUUUAAAAAAAAUUUGUUUUGGAAGGGAAGGAAAAGGAAAAAAAAGAAAAAAGAAGAAAAAUUCAAGGGUUGUAAUUGGCAAGGAAUUGUUAGCUUUAAGGUUAUGAUGGUGAUGAUGAUGAUGAUGGUCGGUCAAACUAAUUAAUGUUUACUCCCAUUGACAUUAGAGAUUGUUGGUCUUAAUAUAUCAUCGGAUUUUUCCAUAUAUUUAUUUUAUACCUCGCAAAACUUAGUGGUAGUAAGUAGUGAGUAUUAUUAUUGUUGAUUUCCAAAUUGGAAAAAUGGUUUAUUAUUCCUUCUUCUUUUCGGUAAAUAUAAUGUGUUUGAUUUAAUUUUGUAUUCAGACGCUAUGUCCAAAGUCUCCAAAAGGCAACAGAAAAAGAGUAGAAUAUUUGGUGUUGGUUAUAUUAUGGUUUUGUGUAAUAAAUUGGAAAUAGCCAAACGGUGACGUUUUUGGUUAGGGAUAAGACGGUGAAUGAUACAUCAUUAUUAUAUCUUUGACUUUAUGAAUCUGCCAUCCUCUCAUUUACUUCUCUUUCCUCAUCCAAUCACUUUUAUUGCUCUUUUAUUCUCUUCUCUCUCUCUUUUUUCUUUUUAAUUCAAAUAUACUAUUACCUUCCCUUUAAUUUUAUUUUUUAUUUCUUCUUUUUUCUUACAAAGAAAAUAUGUUUCUCCUUUCACUUUAAAGUUAUUUGAUGAUUUCAAAUGGAGAGUCCAUUAUUCACAUGUAUUCAAUAACAUCCAAUAUAGUCAUUUUCCCAUCAAAUAUGUAUUUGUAUACUGAUCAUAUAUAUAUAUAUAUAGGAUAAUUGUUAUGGAUGCCAAAAAUAUUAAAAUUAUUUACAAUUUAUAGCAAAAGAAAAAAACAUGAAUAUAAGAGUUUGAUUAAUUUUGUUACAUUUGUAAAUUGUUUUAAUAUUUUGCUAUUUUUAGAAAUAUAUAUAUAUAUAUAACAAAACGAUAAUAAGAUAACUAUCCGGAAAAUAAACAAAAUCUUCUCAUACAACAAUGCCCAAUUUAUAGUUGAGGUAAUGUUUUCAGUUUUUAUUUUUAAAUAGUCUACAAGAUAACAAUAAAAAAAUCUCGUAAGUACUUUAAAAUUCAACAAAAUAAGUGAAAAUAAAAUGUUGUUUUUUUUGGUUAAAUGGUAAAUUUAUUCAUUUCACUGAACUAAAAUUUAAUUUAUAAUUUUUAGUUUAACAUGAAAAUAUUGUCAUUUGAAUUUUGCAGAAGUAACACUUGAAGUCAUAAAUAUAAUACUUAAAAUAAUAAGUCCAAUAAAUAAGUUAAAUUUGUUAAUAAUAUUUAUGACAAUCAUGUGAGAAAAAUACAAUUAAAUGUUUUUUAAAAUUCUACUUAAAAAAAAUGAAAAAUUCUUACAAUAAAAACGAACACAUGUAAAAUUUUCAAAAACAGCUACCCAUCCAAAAGUUUAAAACUCAAAUAAGGUGAUUAACUUCAAAUUUAAUUUAAUCCCUAUACGUUGAAGUUUACAGGUACGUGACUUAGCGUCUUAGGUUGGGUGAGGUAACACAUCAUUUGGUUCAUACAACACUUUUAUACAGUAAUCAAUAUUGAGAAUAUCUUCUUGUUUGUCUGAAGAAUGGGGUGAGAGAGUUUUGAGUUGUGUAGAUUCUAAUAUUAUUUUGUUUAAAAGAAAAUUAGGUUUAGUUUUAACUUUCUAAUUUGAUGUCUAUAAUGUUUAUUCAAUAACAUUUGAAAAUUAGGAGGUGUAGGUACUGAAAUGAAACACUUGGUUACGUGAAUGAAAAUGGUGAUGAAUGAAAGAAAAUGUGAAUUUGCAUAAAAAAAGGAAGCAGUGAGAUUAAUUAGAUUAUUAUUAAAAAGAAGACAAAAAGGGAAAUUAGGUAAAAGACAAAUCCUCUAUUUUUGGAAAAGAUUGUAAAUAAAAGAAAGAAUAGGGGAAGUUUUGAAAAAGAAGUAACUGAUGGGUUUCUGUAAAGUAUAAAAAGAAAGAGAAAAAAGGAAACGACAAAAAGAUUAAGGCGGGAGGGGUGGGAUUAAGAAGGAAGACGAUAAGUUGAACCUCGGGACGCAGACCAGAAGUCAGCAACUUCACAAAAACACCAUUAAUGACAAUCCUUAAUCCUUGUUUUUGCUUUCUACCCAACAAAACUAAUCAUCCAACGCUAAAAGAUAAGACGGAAUCCAAGAAAAAGUACACACAAACUCAGACCAAUACCAUACAAAUAUAUAAUUCCUUCCACCCCAAACCGUUUCUGCACACAAAGCCAACAUACCCAACGUAAUCCUUCAUUUUUCAUCCUUACUUUCAACCCCUUUUGAUCCUCAAUCAUGGCGGAUCUCUACGGAACUUCCCCUUCUUCCGAUGUUGUGGGUUUGCCCCAUGACCCUGAAGAUUUCUCUUCUUUCAUCAAUCACCACCUUCAAACCACUACUUCUUCUGCUUCUUCCCCUUCUUGCGUUUCCUUCAAGAACAAGUUCAUGCCCUUGUUGCAUUCUCAACCUCCUUGGCACUCUUCGCCGAUGUUUUCUCGCCGGCCCGAUUCCACCUCUGUUCCCGGUAUGUCCUGCAUGCUCGAUUUUCCCGAGGAUCGGCUUCAGUCCAGUCGUGUUUUGAACCACGCUUUGUCGGAUUGUAAUGUUAGGGAUGUGAGAUUUGCUGAUGCUUCGUAUUUGGCUGUGAACUCAACUUGCGGCGGCGUGAAAUUGUCGGAUCCUGGUGACUUUCUCAAAGAAAGUUCCGACAACGCCUUUUCUUCCUCCGGCGCUGUUGAUUCCGAUACGAAUGCACCGUUGAAGAGAAGGGGUCUUUCGUCUGAAAAUGAUCUUGGGGAUUUCAGUUGCGAUAGCGAGGUAACUUCCUGUUUCCUCAAAUUUCACCGUUUGAAACUUUUGCUUAUCUUGAGUUAAUUCGAUUCUCUCAGGGUGGGGAUUUGCCUGAAGUUCCAUCUAGUACUAAUCUGCCUCGAAAUUCAUCGAAGAGAAGUAGAAGCGCUGAGGUCCAUAAUAUGUCGGAGAAGGUCAGUUUCAUAUUGGGUCCCCGAUUUCUAAGCAUUCUUGUCUUUAAGUUUAGACUAAGAGCGAUUGAUUGCUGAUAUUUUUGCUAAUGGUUUCGGUGAGUGGGCCAGAGACGAAGAAGGAGGAUCAAUGAGAAAAUGAAAGCUCUUCAGAACUUAAUUCCCAAUUCAAACAAGGUAUAUUUGUCAAAUUCAAGACUAUGGCGGUUUUGAUUACUUUUUAAGUAUUUAGAGUUACAAUCAGAUUGUGGUUUGACAGACGGACAAAGCUUCAAUGUUGGAUGAAGCAAUUGAGUAUUUGAAGCAGCUUCAACUUCAAGUCCAGGUGGGUGUCCUUUUUUUUUUGUUUUGUUUUGUUUUGUAUGGUUAUGUGCCUGAGAAUUUGAUCACGUUUUUUCACUUUUGUUUGCUAUGGAAUUAUCUCUCUUUAUACGUGUACUCGUUCAUUUUUAUUGGUUUCUAAUUACAAAUAGUCCAUGAAUUUGGGCCACAGAAUCUUAUGUGCUGAUAUAUCAAAAAGUAAUGUUCCUUUUGUCCUCAUGAUAUGAGUCAAACGUGCCUGCACUUCGAUUUCUGGUUGCAUUUCAAUCAGAGAACUUUGAAUAUUCAAACAGUUUCAUCCUAAUUUUAUUUCUGGCCAAACCUUACUAGAGAAAAGCCAAUUGAUAGUGAAAUUUUUUGAGUCUUGAGUGUUGAUUAUUUUCCAAACCCAUGGUUCUGUAGGAGUUCUGUUACUCAUUCUGAGAAUUAUUGGGACAUUUUCAGCUGAAAAAGGCUGAAGAUCUCCUCCUCCUACCGCCGAUUAACACUGUGUGUUUGAUUACUUUUCACUCUAUCACUAUAAGAUUAUGCUUCGUUUGAGCUUUUCCUAACAUAACCAAAAUUUUACUUCUUAAGAGAAGAUGGUUCACGAAAUAGAGGUUUUUUCUUAGCUAACUUACGUUUGAGACAAUGAUGUCAAAAUAAUAGAUUUCUAGGACCUCAUAUUCUUUCUUAUCACGAAUUUGAUGGGUGCUUAUGAGGAGCAGGAAUAAUACCUCUCUUGAUCAUUGUUUUGUCGAAAAUUUUCCCUGUUUUAGUUGCUCUUUUUGGGCUAUACUAAAUCUGAUAUUGAACUAUAAACGAAAACGAAAUUACAAGAUAAUUCAAGAGUCCAAGGUACUUGGACCCUCCGAAUCUUGGCAGUACUCUCAGGCCGUAGUAGACUUCACCAAAUAUUGCCUAUCUCCCAUCUUCUCCACUCGCUGUAUUUACUUAAAACAUUCAUAACAAUCCCUUAAUACUCUAAUUAUUUCCUUAAAACGUUCAUAACAAUCCCUUAAUACUCUAAUUAUUUACUUAAAACAUUCAUUUCAAAUAAUGAGGUUUGGAGCAACUAACAGCUUGUUCCAUUUUUUUCUCUCUAGUUGACAGAAAUGGUCAUAGUUUGAUGAACAUAUUUAAACUUGUUAUCAAUGACGUUUGGCUUUGCAGAUGUUAUCAAUGAGAAAUGGCUUGAGUUUGCAACCAAUGUGCUUGCCAGGAAUGCUGCAGCCAAUUCAACUACCUCAGAUGGGGUUGGACUACGAUGUAGGAAAUGCAUUUCUAACAUCCCGAAGAGGAAUAGAUACAUCGUCUACUAGGAACGAAGGAUGUCCCAUGCAAUCUACAUUCAAUCUUACCAACAAAUGUAACCUUUCAGAUCAGUCAAUUGCCAUCCCUUCUGUACCAAACACCACAACCUCAGAAACUGCAUUCGGUUUUGAACCCACAAUUCAGGGUUAUGAUGGGGAGUUUAACCUGUCCUCCGAUUUCAAGGUAACAAACAAUAUUAACCAGCUUCUUUCUAGGUUAGUGAAAUUGGGACCAAAUAUUUUCUUGGAAAUAUGCAGGAUGGGGAACCAGCCGCACAGUUAGAUUGCGCUCAGACGGGGAACGAGUCAACAGACGCUUCUUAGCUGUAGUCCUUUGCAGGAUGCUGGUCACUAGAGUAUGGCCUUUUUAAUGAAGCAAUUUCUUUACUUUCCUUGUGGAUUUUCAACAACAAACAUUAUAGAAACUACAAAAAGUUCUAUUUUCACACUUACCAGAAAAUCUAUUGUAGAAUAGGUUAACAACAUAAUCUUGAUAUUUAUGCCUUUGACUCUAUAUUUUUAAGAAAAAAAACUUCAAGUAUUAGUUAGGCAAACAUAGAAAUGCAGAAAUCUACCUGAUCUGCUUUGUUUGAAAAGAAAGAGGAUAGAAGCUGCCAAAUGUUUUUGGGGAGAAGCAAGAAAAAGAAAAAGAAAAAGAAUACGGUGGUCCUUCCUUACCUUUACCAAUUAGAUGCUCUCUAUCUGGACUCAUUGAUGUGAAGUAGAUCAAUUAUUUUGCCUUGUAAUGCUGUCAAGAAAUGAAAACAAAAAAUAUGUUGUCUCUUUGCAGGAUAUUUUUGAGAUAAAUACCCAUUCAUAAUAUACGAUAAUAUCAAUUUAACUUUGUUCAUAUGCUGUUUGAUUUUGGUUUAGAUUGAAAACUGACCCAAAAUAGGGACAAAUUGGGCCAAGUUGAUAUGAAGCCAUUUGGCAGAGGGAAUAUGUCUCAUAUGAUAUAAUAACAAAUCAUAUGAAAUGAUUAAAGAUGAAUUCGAAAGAAAAAGAAGGGAAAAGAAAAGUUUGGGGGUGCCCUUAAAAAAAGGGGAGGGUCUGAAACUUGUUCAGUGGUCAAACUCUAUUUUAUGGGGAGAGGUAAUUAAUUAUGUAACAUUGACUGACACUUCUAAUUAUUAAUUAUUACUUAACUAAUGAGCUACCCAUCCAUUAUUUUUAGUUAAAGCAGGCGCUGCAGUCAGGCAGACAAGCAGAGUUCUUUAAUCAACAAUAAUAUUGUUGGAAUAAUUUCUUCUCAAGUCUUUUUUUAAAGUUAAAGUUUGUGUUUAAUAGGCCAUCAACUUAAUUUCUCAAGAAUGACAUUAUGUCUAUUGUUCAACAGGGUUCUUAGUUUUUAUAUUUGUCUAUAAUGAAUAUGUUGGGGUUCACAAUUGAAAGUUUAAGGAAUCUUUGAUGUUCUGAGGACUAGUUGGACAUUUUGCAAAGUUCAGGAACAUCAAAUAAAAAAAUUUCAAUUUAGGAUCUACACACAAAGAUGAGGGUUAAGGGCUAAACUGUCACUAAACAUUUUUUAAUGAUUUCUUUUUUUGGGUGAAUUUGAUGGCAGCUAAAUUAUUAAUCAGCAGGUUUCUCCUAAAAUUCAAGAUUAUGUUCGUGUGUGUAUUUGUAUCGAUCACAUAUCAUACAAAGAAACAACAAUAAGUCUAAAGAAAAAGGAAAGACAACAGCUAUAAAGGUCGUAUAUUUAUGUAUGAGUCAAAUAAACACUAAUUCUGGGUUUAGAAAGUUGUUCUUUUACUAUUACUGUUGUUAUUAUUUUACAUGAUUUUUAAGAAAAAUUAUCAAUCUUGUUAAACUUUUUUUUGGACAAGGCAACUUUAAGUUAUGAAUGAUAACAUGGUUUGUCAACAAAUUUUGAAUUAUUUACUUAGAAUGUAGAAAUCAAUUCUUGGAUGUAAUAAUUUCGUUCUGUGAAAAUGAAUUCUUGGAUAGAUAAAUAUAUACGUACACACACAAAUAAAUGGAAGAAACUUUUCUUUUUGGAAAGGAAGUAUAAAAUAAUUAUAAACAAGGAAAGUGGUAGGAACACCUUGGGAUGAUUCUUCCCCCCAACUUUUAUUUUUUUUAUUGGGUUUUUGUUUGAAUAAUGUCUACUCUUUUUUUAGAAAAUAAGAAAAACACAGAUGAUAAUUCAUGUUUUUAAAUAGAAAAGGGGAAAAAUUUUAUUAUUCAAUGUGAUCAAAUAUGUAUCAUAUCUAACAACCAAUUCUUUCUAUAUUGUAUAAUUAAAAGAAAAAAAAUCGAUUAUUCUUUAUGAUCACAAAAUAAAAAAAGAAAAAAAAAAGACAAUUUAUGAAUAAUUAAAAAAUUGAACGCGUAAAAAGCAAUAAAGGUAUUACCAAUUUUCCCCAAAAAUCUAAACUCAAAAUUUUAGAAUAUUUCUGUAAAGCCAAAUAAAAAGAGGAAUAUGAAUAAAUAACUUAACAUAGAUAUCUAUUUUUCUAAUGAAAAAUGCUUUUGGGUACAUGCCGACUUGUAUUCAUCUUGAGUUAUCCAUUCGAAACUCUAUCACAAAUUAGAGCAAAAUUUAUCUAAUUCUCUAGAGUUCAUUUAAUUUUUUUUUUUUUGAUAUAUUUUGUAAAUUAUUGUUAUUAUUAUGAGAAAGAAAAAAAAGCAAGUUGGUUGUUAGAUUUUGAGUCCAACACCUAAAAGAGAAAGAAAAGAAAAUUAGAAAUGAAUAAUGGUACUUUGGAAGUAAUUAUGUAGAGUCUAUACUACAAUUAAUUAAACUCUAGAUUUUUGGAUUUAUCCUUUUCUAUUUUCUAUUUUUUUUUAAUACAAAGUCCGUGAUGACUAUAUUUAUAUAUAUGAACAAAUUACUUUCAAUUAAAAGCUUUACCAAUUACACUAUCAUUAUUGUAUUGUAGCAAUAAGAAUCAUAUACUAUAAAAAGAGUAUUUGUCACUCUAUGUUGUCUUAAGAAUUGGGUUAGUUGAUUUGCAUAUUUUAUAUUAUAAGGCUAAUGAUCUAACAAAGACAAUUCAAGCAGUUUACUUACUGAAAACAGUGUAUAUAAAAUAAUUGUGGAGAAAGAAUCUGCAACGAAAAUGGAUUUUAGUGAAUAAAAAUGAAAGAAGGUCGUCUCAAAUUCAGAAAUCAUUUGUAGCUUACCGUGGAAUUUCAGAUAAAGGCUCACCGGGGAAGAGGGUUCAAUAAAUGGAUGGGCUUUUGUAGGGUUGAUUUUUCUUUCUUCUCUUCUCUUCUUCACCAUUGUUGAAGAUGGAAGUCCCAUCAUGCCAGCUCUUUCUUUCUCUCUCGCUGUGAACCCCACUGAAUGAGUGGAAUUUGCAGUUUAGUUUCUUGUCUUCAUUUUCGAGAUUUAUUGUAUCCUUUGCUUUUGCCACUCAGCUAAUUGUCCUCCUUCUUCUGUGGUUGUCUCCGCCACAAAAACAGUCUUGAAAGGUUUGUAGAACAAGGGGAAGAGGAAAAAUGUCUAAUUAUGCCUUCUUGAAUGACCAGCUCUCGAAGCGGACCUCCAUUUUCGGUUUGCGUUUGUGGGUUGUUUUGGGUAUUUGUGUUGGUGCUGCCAUUGUUAUUGUUCUCUUCCUCAUUUCCUUAUGGUUCACUUCCAGGCGUAACAGUUCCAAUAAAUCUAAACCCUCUUUGAACCCCAUUAUCCCAAAUGUGUCUAAGGAAAUCCAGGAAAUACGAAUUGACCAUUCUCGGAACACUACUCAUUCUGACCCCAAAGUUCAGUUGGCUUCUAACCCUGAGCCUUUGCCGGAGGCAGAGCCUUUAGCGACGCUGCUUCAGACGGAAGAAGGAAGCCCACCUAGUGGACGCCAUAGAAUUCACAUUGAAAUUGGGAAGGACCAUCGGAUUUCUUACCCAGAGAGAGGUGGCGGUUCGUCCCACGGAAGUGGAGAGGCUCGGUCUGGUGAUCAGGCGCCAAUGACUGUGCCGGAGGUUUCGCAUUUGGGUUGGGGCCAUUGGUAUACUCUCAGAGAGCUUGAGUAUUCUACUAAUAGUUUUGCGGAUGAAAAUGUAAUUGGUGAAGGCGGAUAUGGUAUUGUGUACCGUGGGGUUCUUGAGGACAACACCGUGGUUGCCAUCAAGAAUUUGCUCAAUAACAGGUUCUUCUUCUCAUUUUAUUUCUUUUUUCACAUGGAUCUUUGUAAUUUAUCGCAGUUAUGUCAAUGCAGUACGAGCAUUUAUCUUAUGUUACAAGAAUCCACAACUGCAAUUGAUACAUUAUGUUGUUCCGCUGGAAGAAAUUUUAUGCACUAUUUCUUGUGUUCAGAGGACAAGCUGAGAAGGAGUUUAAGGUUGAAGUGGAAGCAAUUGGACGUGUUCGCCACAAGAAUCUGGUGCGUUUGCUUGGCUAUUGUGCUGAAGGAGCUCACAGGUAUUCUGAUUUUCCUCCAAAGUAAUCCUGUAGAAGCUUAAGAAACUGUAAACACUCUCUUCUCUAGUUAAUUUGAGAACGUGUGUGCAUUCUGCUUGUCUUGUUGUAGGAUACUUGUCUACGAGUACAUUGAUAAUGGAAACUUGGAACAGUGGCUUCAUGGAGAAGUUGGACCUUGUAGCCCUCUAACAUGGGACAUUCGAAUGAAUAUAAUUGUUGGAACAGCGAAAGGGUAUGUUCUAAAUUGAGUUUGCGUUCACUAUUUUGGUUGUAGAUAAGUAAUAUUCUUCAACAUCUUGCCAUAGUUUUGAGUUUGACUUCAUAAAAUCACAGGUUAACAUACCUCCACGAGGGACUCGAGCCUAAGGUUGUUCACCGUGAUAUCAAGUCAAGUAACAUUUUGCUUGACAAGCAGUGGAAUCCAAAGGUCUCUGACUUCGGCCUAGCAAAGCUUUUAGGCUCAGAAAGGAGUUAUGUAACAACUCGUGUGAUGGGAACUUUCGGGUCAGUCUAAGUUGUAGAGUGAAAUGUAUUACUUGAUUUCUAAUUUUGAAUUCAUGAACUUGACGGAGUAACUUACACAAUGCCGACUGGGGUUGUUUUGUAGAUACGUAGCUCCAGAAUAUGCAAGUACUGGCAUGUUAAAUGAAAAAAGUGAUGUAUAUAGUUUUGGUAUCCUCAUUAUGGAGAUAAUUUCAGGGAGAAAUCCAGUAGAUUAUAGCCGCCCUUCAGGAGAGGUGUGUUUCUCAUCCAGAUUAUUUGUCAUUGCAUAACUUGGCCUAUACAGGCCUCUGCUUUCACCAUUAACUUUUCAUGGUUGAUUGGUGGAUCAAACUUUCAGGUCAACCUAGUUGAGUGGCUUAAAACAAUGGUUAGUAAUCGAAAUGCUGAGGGCGUUCUGGAUCCUAAGUUGCCUGAAAAGCCUUCAACAAGGGCACUGAAGCGUGCUCUGUUAGUAGCUUUACGGUGUGUGGAUCCUAAUGUUCAGAAGAGGCCAAAAAUGGGGCAUGUAAUUCAUAUGCUUGAAGCAGACGAGUUUCCUUUCCGAGAUGUGAGUUAGCAGCAUUUCAACUAUUACUUAGACCAACUUGAUGUGUGGGAAUAUUUAUCUUCAUUCCAUAAAAUUAGUUGCCUCUAUAGUCUUGUCUUAAAAGUAUUUUACAAAGAAUAAGUUAAUGAGUUACUUAAGUUAGAAAUCUGGUUUAUUUGCUUUAAACUAUGUAUCCGGUUUUUCCUCCUUCCAUAUCUCAUGAUCCAUCAUUGUCUCUCCUCAAUAUCUCAGGAUCGUAGAGUGGGACGAGAACCAGGACGAUCACUACUGAAGGAAAAGCUCAUGGAAAGGCUUGUGAGUGAAUCCGGAGAAAGCAGCGGAUAUGAAAGUGGAGCAACACAAGCAAGCCGACAUCUAUGGAGAAAGCAAGAACUUGAAGAACAACAGCCUCGCGAACCUCACACUUUAAGGUGAUCUUGUAUACCCAACCCACAUUAUUAUCAAUCAGGCUACACUCUAAAAUGUAAGGAUUAUUUCUGCAGCCUCUCCCCCUUGCUGUACUGUAUCAAACAAUCUGUAUAAUGUUUUGUAUCAAUCUUUCUCAGUUUUGGGAUUCAUUCUAAUGGUUUAUAAUCACCAAAAUUAGAUACCUGUAACUGUAAGUACAACAUUUGGAAGGAAAGUUUUUAGUUAAAUCUGAAAUGCCCUGAAUUAAGGAUGGUAAAGAGUGAAGAUGAGUACUUUUUAGGUUGAAGUUUGGUGGGUGUGAUUAGAAUCAAAUCGGGUCCUACUGAAGUUUUGGUGGGUGUGAUUAGAAUUAAUUGGGGUCCUAGUCUUUCACGAGCAUUACUGUUGGGGUGGGGACUUGGGUUUGUGAAGUAGAAGGAAGGAGAACCUUUAUUUUUCAGGUUUACAGUAAAGGAACUGUUGUGUGUUUGGAUUUUAGAAUCUUGGACCACUCUCUUUAAAGUUCUUCGGGUAUUGUUACUUGUCAAAAAGUCAUUAGAUUUCUUUUUUGCUUAUUACUUUUGGCAUUUCUGUUUUCUACUUCUAAAACUCUGAGUUCUGGUCACUGUUUUACUCUCUCUCUCUCUCUCUCUCUCUCUCGACACACACAUGGCAUUUCCUAUCUUGAAUCUUGUUUUUCAUUGGUUAUGAAUUUUGCAUGUGCUGAGCAUUUAUGCUAGUAGGGCAGAAGGCUUAUGCCACUUUCCCCUUCAAUUGACUCGAUGAUUGUUCUUUCACUUUCUUAAAGGUUGUUAAUUUAAUUUUAAACAUUUAAGAAUGGAAAAGAUGAUAAUUUUACUAUAUAUAGUUUCCCUCUCUACUUUUGAUAGUUAAACUCUUGUUAGAAGUAGGAAUCACAAAUGCACCUUUGAUCUCUUUCUAAGACUUUGUUAGAAAUAAGAAUUGCUUAGCAUCAUUAAACUCACUUUUCUUAUAUUCAAAAUCAACUAUUUCAAAAAUUACUCUUAAAAACAUUAAUAUUGUCAUAAUUUAGACUUUUGCUUACAAAUUGUAUUCGAAAAGAGAUUCGUACAAUCUUAGAUAUGUUUGGUAGGCAAAAUUCAAAUAUGCAUUGGUAGGUACUCAAGAUUUUGGAAACGAUGUUUAAAUUCAAAUUUACAUUUUUCUUUUGAGUUUAUUGCAGAGUUAGGGCCUAUAUCUUAAUUUGUUGGGAGGUGUGUGAAUGAGCAAUGAACAAGGAUGCUCUUUUGGGUGAAAAAUGAGAACUUAAUCCUUAUACUUCAUCACAUUGUCCAUACAAAAGAUUUUGAUGAUUCAAGAAAAUUGUGAAUUAUAUUGAAAAAUUAAUAGACUUGAGAUGAUGCAGAAACGAUCUUUUAGAAAAUACAUCAAGUAAGAAUAGCAGUGAUAAAUAAAACAUAGUGAAUAAUCAUCAAUAAAUAAAGUAAGAAUAGAGUUAUGAGUAGAAGUAGAUAUCAAGAUAUCAUGAUGAAUUAAGCCAAAAAGGUGUAUGACAUAACAUGAAUAUGAAAAAAAUUUAGGGAAGAUAAAAGCAAGUUGUUUCACAAGCUUACAAAUGAUACAUCAUGGUAGCAGUUUUGUUUUUUCUUUUUAGUAUCUUUUUUCCCUUGAGAAAUACCUCAUGGUAGAGUUUUCAUCAAGAAGUCAAUAAAAAUAUUUCUCAUGAGCCUCUAAUGAAUUAUAAGGCAUAUAUAUCGCUAUGAAAUUUAUAUGAUCUAGGCAAGAAUUUGAGUUUUUUUUAAAGAGUAUUUGUGCAUUAUUGAAAUUUAAUUGUGUAAAACGUGACAAUAAUUUUUUUUUUUUUAGAAUAUAGGCUUUAUUAUUACAACUUUUCUUUAAUUAAAACGAGUUAUUAAAGUUUUUAUAUAUUAUUAAUUUUAAGGUUAAAACAUGUGAGUGAAUUAGUAAAUCUCUGAAUAAAAGACAAAUAUAUCAGGUAUGCUUUAAAUGUUAAAAUUGAUUCAACUUGUCGAAUUUAGAUGUAAAAAUGGAUGCUUUCCAAACUAUAUUUAGAGUUGCAAAUUACUCAAGAUGGCCUCAAUGUUUUUAUUUAACUAGGUUCAUUAUUUUCUUCACUGUAUACGAGCAUACUCGUAAUUUCAUAUUUAAGAAAAAACCAAUUUACUCGGAAUGUUAAAGGUAAAACUACAAAAUUCAAACCAUAAUAAGCAAUCAAUUCAAAUAUACCUUUUUCUUUAAGGACGAUUCCAAUAAGAGAAAAAAAAACAAAGAGAGAAAUUGGUUUCAUAUUUUAAUACAAACACAAAUGAGCAUCCUGAGUUGCAAGUAAUUGAAAGUUUAAAUUGCGUAAAUAAACAUAAUACAAUUCAAUCAAAAUUACCCGAGAAGUUAUUUUGAGAUUCUAAAGGGGGUUCAAUGUGAAACACAUCUAAAAACUCUGCAUCUCAGUCCAAAACUAAAUUAUAUCCUUUAAAAUGAUAAUUAAUGUUCGGGAAUUACUCCCUUCAAAACUAAAUUAUUGAAGGAAAAAAAAUCGCCAGAACCAAGUCUAAAACUCUGGAGACAUUUUCAUCAACAUCUGAAAAAUGAAUUAACCUUUGCGGUGAGGUUAACCACCUCAGCUUAAGCGCCACCAGAUCCGUAUUUCUUCCCGAAGACGAUCACCUGCAACUUAUCGUAACCGGCAAGCACACCAGCACCAGCAACGGCACGGAGAAUGUUAGCACCAGCACCCUUGAAGAGAGACUUGGCACCUUCGUUCUUCAAGAUCUGAGAGAAGGCAUCCAUUGAGCUCUUGUACUUCACUGCUUCACCAGAUGUCAUCAUCAUUCUUCUACGAACAGUGUCAAUUGGGUAGGAUGCAAGACCGGCACCGUUGGUGAUGAGCCAACCAAGAGCAAAGCUAGCGAAGAAACUAUCCUGCUCUCACAUAAAAGGUAGAAUAUAAUCAGAACAUAGCAAUUCAAACAUUGGCAUUCAUUAAUGAACUCAAUUUAUAUAAUCCCCACAGCAAACAACUAAAACCACUAGCAAACUGACCUGCAUCUUCCCGGUCAACAAAACAGGCUUUAGAGAAUCGUACAUUCCGAAGUAUAAACCACGGUACACAAUGAUACCAACGCAAGAAAUGUUAAACCCACGAUAUAAACCAGCAACACCAUCAGACUGCAAUGUCUUCCUGUAGACAUCAACCAGUCCAUUGAAUUGCCUUUCUCCACCCUUCUUGGCAGCUUUGGCAUCAUUUGCCAAUCGGGUACGCGCAUAGUCAAGAGAGUAAACAAAAAGAAGGGAUGAAGCACCGGCUGCACCUCCGGAUGCAAGGUUACCAGCAAACCAUUUCCAGUAACCAUCCCUGUCUUUCUUGAAGUUGAAAAGUCUCUUGAAGUAAUCCUUAAAAGCAAAGUUCAAUGCCUGGAGCAUGUAACCAUAAAACAAUUAGCUCAAGAAAGUUUAAAAAAAUGGAGAGAUAAAAUUAUACAACAGAAGAAAACCACACACUUGAGUGGGGAAAUAACGGAUGACAUUGGCAGUGUUUCCUCUCCACAAUGAACCGAAACCCUCCUCUUGCAUUGUGCGCUUAAAACAAUCACCAAUACCCUUGUAUGGCUCAGACAAACGUCCAGAUUUAAUCAUCUCAUCUUGAUUUUGAAUUAAGAGUUUGACACGCUCAAUCGGGGCAGCAGCUGUUUUGGACACAGCAGCAGACACACCACCCAUAAGAAAGUCAAGCAUAAAGUUUCCUUUCUCAGCAGGGGCAGCAACAAAAAUGGGGGAAGCGGUUGAGGAAACCCUAGAAAGGUCAGUUGUAGCUACACAGGAUUGCACAGCAGGAUAUUGAAAAGCAGCAUUGGAAUAAUUGGUAAUCGGUGCACGUCUCUGAUAGAGUGCAGGAUUUCUAAAGCCAUCAUCACAAGCCCGGAAACCCGAAGCAACCCUCGACUGAAGGGAGAGCUGACCAGCAACCUUCUGAUAGAUAGUGGGAUGUUGAACCUGAUCAGCCAUGGCUACUUCUUCCCUGCAAUAAUUCCCAAUGAUUUCAUCAGAUGAGAAAUACUCGUUUCAAAUUUAGAACAAGAGAUGACAUUGAGACACCAAUACGACAGUAGUGGGCCAGAAGUACAGUUUAGGUAAGGCAGAUAGCUAUUCAAGGAAAAUGAGAUCAAUAAAGAAUCGAAGAACAAAGUUAAUAUUUUAUAAGCAUCGUUCAAUGUAGCAAAUCAAGUACUAUAAGUCUUCGUUGAAAACAGAGCUGUAAUAACAAAUGCCAAGGGUUGAAAAGUAGCAACAUGGUCAAGAGUAAAGAUCAUUUACUAAAACAUAUAAACCUUAAUUCUGUUUUAUGAAAUAUCUAAUCGCAAUAACAAUAACAUAAGAAAAAAAAACGUACACAAACACACCAAUUUAAGGGUCGGCUCCAAACACUUAAAAGUAAAGAGUAAAUGCAUCCGUAAGAGCGCAGAUUCAUAACAAAAAAUUCGCUGAUCCACAGUAAAACAAUAGGAGACAACCAGUACGAUAAGAGGUCUCAUCAGUCAUCGCUAAGAGGCCACACAGUCAGUACAUGAUGAUAAUAUGCGAGUUUUAUAAAAAUACAACAAAUGAGAUUAGAUCGGAAAAAAUGGGAACACAACAAACCCAAACAGAAACUAGAAAAUUCACAUCAAAGAUUCCGUUCAGAAACUUCAACAGCAGAACUUCGGAAAUAGUUAAGGUGAACAGUAAACACUAUAAGAGAUAUAUUUAGGAAGAACAGAUCUCAAUCUAGAAGUAAAUAUGAGAAAACCAACAGACAAAUCCGACAAUCUGAAGUCUGUGCGAUCAGAAAUUUAAGAAAUAGCCAAGGAUCAGACCCCAGAAGUUUAAAAAAUAAAAAAUAAAAAAGGAAGCAGAAUAAAGACGAAUAAGGAUCGUUUUUACCAAAGACGAACCGAGAAGAAAGUGAAAGUAUGAAGAACUGCCGGAUCUGAAGGUGAAAUUGAAAGUGAUCGGUAGAAGAAUUGUGGAUCUAAAAGAGAGAAAGAGGAGUAUACCUUAGGAGAAAACUGAUGGCCGCGAGGGAAACUGGGAGGAGUCUGCCGCGGCUACAAUGUCGCGUAGGACGAAUGCGAAAACUUCAGGAGAAGAGAGGGUUUCCCGCUGCACCAUGGGUCAGUAUUAAGGGUUUAAAAUGGGCCCUUAUUGGGCCUUUAUUACCAAAGCCUUUACCAUAAGAUUUUAUGUUCUCCUUUAUUUUUAAAAAAUCAUAUUUAAAAUAAUUACAAAUAUAAACCAAUAUUAAUGUUACAAAUCUAUUAUUAAUAAACAAAUAUUCACUCAUACAUAAAUUCUACCAAAAUAUAAAUCUAUCACUAAUACAUGCAAAACAUAAUAAAAAUAAAAAAUUUAGUGUGUUAUUACUCAAUAACUUCUUGAACAUGUUUUUAUUUUUCAAGGUUAGAUGGAAGGUUUAAACUUGAAUUUUAAUUCUUCACAUGUCACUUGGACAUAGCACUAGAAAUAAACUAAAAAUUAUUGACAUAGAUAUUGAUUUUAUUCAUUAAUUAGUGUUGACACAUUAUUGUGUUUACGUGUCUGAUUUUAUUGAUAAAGUAUUAUUAAUAAAAAAUGGUACAAACUUUCAUUAACGACUUAGUAUAAAGUUGAGAAAAUUGAAAAAUGGAAGGCCAAAUUGAUAAUUAACUACAAAAUUAAGGUUUAUAUUAUAUACUUUAAAUAAUAACAACAAUAACAAAGUUGAAUAAAAUCGUGCUCACUUCUGCACGCCUUUUUUCUUUUUUUAUUUUUUAUAUAUUGGUCAUAGAUUAAACGAAAAGGCAUUUCUAUAACUAGCCAUAUGUUAAAUUACAAUAUUAACAACUAGUGUCAUAAUCCAUAAUUUAAUCAAUAUAUAGUAUGUGUUUUCAUUAUACAUAAAAAGGCAUUAUCAGUUAAACUAUAAAAUAUGUUAAGUUACAAUAUCAAUCUCUAAUUUUGUGUUAAGUUACAAUAUCAAUCUCUAAUUUUGGUUAUUGGUAUAAUAAAUUACCAUUGAGAUCUCUAAAAUUUUGAAACAUUUAAUAUGUUUAUGAGCUUUUAAUUUCAUAACAGUAAUGUAUUUUUUUUCUAAUUACACCAAAUACGUAUGACUCGUUAGACACCAGUUUUAAACUUUUUUUUUCUUUUUACUUUUUGCUUUUCUGUAUAGACAUUCACUUUGGACAAUAUCCAUCCCUUUAGUUUCGCCCUCUCUCCCAUCAUCACUGCUCUUCCAUUACACAAACAAACAAACAUGAAAGCGAAAUUACAUAUCCAUCUUUAUUUUGAAAUUUGGGCAUCACAUUCCUCGGAGUAGGUGCAAGACGGACUCAACCCAACUCUAACAGAUGCUGGAAUUCCUUCGGCCCUUCAUCGAUUUUCCUCGCAAAAAAGUUGUCUUCAUUUGCAUUAGAGAGGCCUCCAGCUUAGACCGUGUACAAUUCUCACUCCAUCCUCAUCCAAUCCUUCUUAACUGCCACUUUGUUCCAAUAUUUUCCCAUUAUGUUUGGGUAUUGUUUUGUAAUUGAAUGUUAAGCAAUAUGAUUCAUGAUUUAGGGGAAAAUAUACAUUUUUGUCUCUCGCUUUAGAUUGAAAUACAUAUAUGAUUUAGUUAUGAUUUUUGGAAGAAAAAUAGGACACGGCAGAGAGUUUUAUUCAAUGUGACAUAAAAGGGUUCUCAUGGGCCGCUGAUGAACUAUAAAGCAUAUGUUUGGUAUGAAAGUCAGAAUUUAGGCGAGAAUUUGAGGGGUUUGGCCACUUAUUUGAUGUGUUCAUUGUAGAGCUUGAAUGGUCUAUUUUGUGCAAAUUUGACUUUUAUUCAAGUGGUGGCCGGUGGGUUGUUGAAGUUCUUAUAUAUUAUUUCUUUUGAAGUUCCAACUAAGUGGGCGAAUUAGAAAAUUCUGAAUAAAAUAUAAAUAUUAGUACACUUGAACUAUUCAUGUUGCCAAAUUUAGUGGUGAGAAUGGAUUAGUUGAUUCGAACAUUUAUUUACAUACAUAAUAAUGUUACUUACCAGAUUUAUACAUCUUUUUCGACGUGUUUGAGGAUUGUGAAAAUGGAAUAGAGCUAGAGAAUAACAAGGCAAACACAAUACUUGUUUGAAUGAAAAAAAUCAAUCAUUUGUGCAUCUAAAUCAUAUAUCUUUGCAUUCAUUUGCUAACAAUUGUUACGUAAAAUGCUAAUUCUUGAUCUCCUCAUGCGUACUGAAAGCUGAAUAAACUUUGUUGUAUGGCUAUUCUAAGAACUAAAAAAACAGAGUUAAAAGAUUUAAAGGUAGAUUGGUUUGAUUUUGGAAUUUCUAGAUCGUAAAACAUUCCGUCUACUACAAGCCCCCAGAUGAACAUCCUCAGUUGUAAAGUAAGUGAAAGUUUCACUUAAAUAAACAGAAUACAAUUAAAUCAAAAUAUCUGAGAAAUUAUUUUGAGAUUCUAAUGGGUGAUCCCAAUGUGAAACACUUCUAAAAGCUCUGCAUCUCAGUCGAAAACUAAAGUAUAGCCUUUUAAUAACUGAAAAGUUUGGGAAUUACUCCCUUCAAAACUAAAUUAUUGAAGGAAAAAAAAUGGCCGGAACAAAGUCCAAAACUCUGGAGACAUUUUCAUCAACAUCUGAAAAAUGAAUAAACCUUUAAGGUGAGGUUAACUACCUCAGCUUAUGCGCCACCAGAUCCGUAUUUCUUCCCGAAGACGAUCACCUGCAACUUAUCGUAACCGGCAAGCACACCAGCACCAGCAACGGCACGGAGAAUGUUAGCACCAGCACCCUUGAAGAGAGACUUGGCACCUUCGUUCUUCAAGAUCUGAGAGAAGGCAUCCAUUGAGCUCUUGUACUUCACUGCUUCACCAGACGUCAUCAUCAUUCUUCUACGAACAGUGUCAAUUGGGUAGGAUGCGAGACCGGCACCAUUGGUGAUGAGCCAACCAAGGGCAAAGCUAGCGAAGAAACUAUCCUGCACUCACAAAAAAAGUAGAAUAUAAUCAGAACAUAGCAAUUCAAACAUUGGCAUCCACUGAUGAACCCAAUUUAUAUAAUCCCCACAGCAAACAACUAACACCACUAGCAAACUGACCUGCAUCUUCCCGGUCAACAAAACAGGCUUUAGAGAAUCGUACAUUCCGAAGUAUAAACCUCGGUACACGAUGAUACCAACGCAAGAAAUGUUAAACCCACGAUAUAGACCAGCAACACCAUCAGACUGCAAUGUCUUCCUGUAGACAUCAACCAGUCCAUUGAAUUGCCUUUCUCCACCCUUCUUGGCAGCUUUGGCAUCAUUUGCCAAUCGGGUACGAGCAUAGUCAAGAGAGUAAACAAAAAGAAGAGAUGAAGCACCAGCUGCACCACCGGAUGCCAGGUUACCGGCAAACCAUUUCCAGUAACCAUCCCUGUCUUUCUUGAAGUUGAAAAGUCUCUUGAAGUAAUCCUUAAAAGCAAAGUUCAAUGCCUGGAGCAAAAAACCGUAAAACAAUUAGCUCAAGAAAGUUGAGAAAAUGGAGAGAUAAAAUUAGCUCAAGAAACAAUUAGCUCAACAGAAGAAAACCACUCACUUGAGUGGGGAAAUAACGGAUGACAUUGGCAGUGUUUCCUCUCCACAAUGAACCGAAACCCUCCUCUUGCAUUGUGCGCUUAAAACAAUCACCAAUACCCUUGUAUGGCUCAGACAAACGUCCGGAUUUAAUCAUCUCAUCCUGAUUUUGAAUUAAGAGUUUGACACGCUCAAUGGGGGCAGCAGCUGUCUUGGACACAGCAGCAGACACACCACCCAUAAGAAAGUCAAGCAUAAAGUUUCCUUUCUCAGCAGGGGCAGCAACAAAAAUGGGGGAAGCGGUUGAGGCAACCCUAGAAAGAUCAGUUGUAGCUACACAGGAUUGCACAGCAGGAUAUUGAAAAGCAACAUUGGAAUAAUUGGUGAUCGGUGCACGUCUCUGAUAGAGAGCAGGAUUCCUAAGGCCAUCAUCACUGGCACGAAAACCCGAAGCAACCCUCGACUGAAGAGAGAGCUGACCAGCAACCUUCUGAUAGAUAGUGGGAUGUUGAACCUGAUCAGCCAUGGCUACUUCUUC
Molecule: long non-coding RNA, 36718 nt
Filed under: Cucumis sativus (cucumber)
Lineage: Eukaryota; Viridiplantae; Streptophyta; Magnoliopsida; Cucurbitales; Cucurbitaceae
Description: long non-coding RNA (CSAT_LNC000719)
Source: RNAcentral